This 256-nucleotide ribosomal RNA is filed under the name uncultured bacterium. Its description in RNAcentral is "partial 16S ribosomal RNA". It matches the Rfam family "Bacterial small subunit ribosomal RNA", at positions 521 to 776 of the family's 1533-position model. The record is from RNAcentral.
UAAUACGGAGGGUGCAAGCAUUGAUCGGAAUUACUGGGCGUAAAGGGCGCGUAGGCGGCAAAGAAAGUCAGAUGUGAAAUUCCGGGGCUCAACCCCGGAGCUGCAUUUGAAACUUCUUAGCUAGAGUACAGUUAGGGAAAACAGAAUUCCACGUGUAGCGGUGAAAUGCGUAGAUAUGUGGAAGAAUACCGGUGGUGAAGACGGUUUUCUGGGCUGUAACUGACGCUGAGGCGCGAAAGCAUGGGGAGCAAACAGG